Molecule: long non-coding RNA, 7899 nt
Organism: Gorilla gorilla gorilla (western lowland gorilla)
Lineage: Eukaryota; Metazoa; Chordata; Mammalia; Primates; Hominidae
Exons: 2
Source: RefSeq, a predicted model, not a curated record
UUAGCAGUAUCUGCACAAAAAAGAAUUAGGAGACUGUCAGGCCUCUGAGCCCAAGCCAAGCCAUCGCAUCCCCUGUGACCUGCACGUAUACGCCCAGAUGGCCUGAAGUAACUAAAGAAUCACAAAAGAAGUGAAUAUGCCCUGCCCCACCUUAACUGAUGACACUCCACCACAAAAGAAGUGUAAAUGACCGGUCCUUGCCUUAACUGAUGACAUUACCUUGUAAAAGUCCUUUUCCUGGCUCAUCCUGGCUCAAAAAGCACCCCCACUGAGCACCUUGUGACCCCCACUCCUGCCCACUGAGCAACUUACGACCCCCACUCCUAUCCGCCAGAGAACAAACCCCCUUUGACUGUAAUUUUCCUUUACCUACCCAAAUCCUAUAAAACGGCCCCACCCUUAUCUCCCUUCCUGACUCUCUUUUCGGCCUCAGCCUGCCUGCACCCAGGUGAAAUAAACAGCCAUGUUGCUCACACAAAGCCUGUUUGGUGGUCUCUUCACACGGACGCGCGUGAAAUUUGGUGCCGUGACUCGGAUCGGGGGACCUCCCUUGGGAGAUCAAUCCCCUGUCCUCCUGCUCUUUGCUCCGUGAGAAACAUCCACCUACGACCUCAGGUCCUCAGACCGACCAGCUCAAGAAACAUCUCACCAAUUUCAAAUCCGAUCUUCUCGGCUUAGCAGCUGAAGACUGACACUGCCCGAUCGCCUCAGAAGCCCCCUAGACCAUCACGGACGCCGAGCUUCCAGUAACUCUCACAGUGGAAGGUAAGUCCGUCCCCUUCUUAAUCAAUAUGGAGGCUACCCACUCCACAUUACCUUCUUUUCAAGGGCCUGUUUCCCUUGCCUCCAUAACUGUUGUGGGUAUUGACGGCCAGGCUUCUAAACCUCUUAAAACUCCCCAACUCUGGUGCCAACUUAGACAAUACUCUUUUAAGCACUCCUUUUUAGUUAUCCCCACCUGCCCAGUUCCCUUAUUAGGCUGAGACACUUUAACUAAAUUAUCUGCUUCCCUGACUAUCCUGGACUACAGCUAUAUCUCAUUGCUGCCCUUCUUCCCAAUCCAAAGCUUCCUUUGCGUCCUCCUCUUGUAUCCCCCUACCAUAACCCACAAGUAUAAGAUACCUCUACUCCCUCCUUGGCGACCGAUCAUGCACCCCUUACCAUCUCAUUAAAACCUAAUCACCCUUACCCCACUCAAUGCCAAAAUCCCAUCCCGCAGCACACUUUAAAAAGAUUAAAGCCUGUUAUCACUCACCUGCUACAGCAUGGCCUUUUAAAGCCUAUAAACUCUCCUUACAAUUCCCCCAUUUUACCUGUCCUAAAACCAGACAAGCCUUACAAGUUAGUUCAGGAUCUGUGCCUUAUCAACCAAAUUGUUUUGCCUAUCCACCCCGUGGUGCCAAACCCAUAUACUCUCCUAUCCUCCAUACCUGCCUCUACAACCCAUUAUUCUGUUCUACAUCUCAAACAUGCUUUCUUUACUAUUCCUUUGCACCCUUAAUCCCAGCCUCUCUUCGCUUUCACUUGGACUGACCCUGACACCCAUCAAGCUCAGCAAAUUACCUAGGCUGUACUGCCGCAAAGCUUCACAGACAGCCCCCAUUACUUCAAUCAAGCCCAAAUUUCUUCCUCAACUGUUACCUAUCUCGGCAUAAUUCUCAUAAAAACACACGUGCUCUCCCUGCCAAUCGUGUCUGACUGAUCUCUCAAACCCCAGCACCUUCUAAAAAACAACUCCUUUCCUUCCUAGCCAUGGUUAGGGCAGUCAGAAUUCUUACACAAGAGCCAGGACCACACCCUGUAGCCUUCUGUCCAAACAACUUGACCUUACUGUUUUAGCCUAGCCCUCAUGUCUGCGUGCGGUGGCUGCCACUGCAUUAAUACUUUUAGAGGCCCUCAAAAUCACAAACUAUGCUCAACGCACUCUCUACAGUUCUCAUAACUUCCAAAAUCUAUUUUCUUCCUCAUACCUGACACAUAUACUUUCUGCUUCCCGGCUCCUUCAGCUAUACUCACUCUGUUGAGUCUCCCACAAUUACCGUUGUUCCUGGCCCAGACUUCAGUCCAGCCUCCCACAUUAUUCCUGAUACCACACCUGACCCCCAUGACUGUAUCUCUCUGAUCCACCUGACAUUAACCCCAUUUCCCCAAAUUUCCUUCUUUCCUGUUCCUCACCCUGAUCACGCUUGAUUUAUUGAUGGCAGUUCCACCAGGCCUAAUCGCCACAUACCAGCAAAGGCAGGCUAUGCUAUAGUACAAGCCACUAGCCCGCCUCUCAGAACCUCUCAUUUCCUUUCCAUCGUGGAAAUCUAUCCUCAAGGAAAUAACUUCUCAGUAUUCCAUCUGCUAUUCUACUACUCCUCAAGGAUUAUUCAGGCCCCCUCCCUUCCCUACACAUCAAGCUCGAGGAUUUGCCCCCACCCAGGACUGGCAAAUUAGCUUUACUCAACAUGCCUGAGUCACGAAACUAAAAUACCUCUUAGUCUAAAUAGACACUUUCACUGAAUAAGUAAAGGCCUUUCCUACAGGGUCUGAGAAGGCCUCCGCAGUCAUUUUUUCUGUUCUGUCAGACAUAAUUCCUCAGUUUAGCCUUCCCACCUCAAUACAGUCUGAUAACAGAUGAGCCUUUAUUAGUCAAAUCAGCCAAGCAGUUUUUCAGGCUCUUAGUAUUCAGUGAAACCUUUAUAUCCCUUACAGUCCUCCAUCUUCAAGAAAGGUAGAAUGGACUGAAGGUCUUUUAAAAACACACCUCACCAAGCUCAGCCAUCAAAAAGGACUGGACAAUAUUUUUAUCACUUUCCCUUCUCAGAAUUCAGGUCUGUCCUCGGAAUGCUACAAGGUACAGCCCAUUUAAGCUCCUGUAUAGAUGCUCCUUUUUAUUAGGCCCCAGUCUUAUUCCAGACACUGGACCAACUUAGACUGCGCCCCCAAAAAAGCUUGUCAUCCCUACUAUUUUCUGUCUAGUCAUACUCCUCCGUUCUCAACUACUCAUACAUGCCCUGCUCUUGUUUACACUGCCAGUUUACACUGUUUAUCCAAGCCAUCACAGCUGAUAUCUCCUCGUGCUAUCCCCAUACCGCCACUCUUAACUCUUGAAGUAAAUGAAUAAUCUUUGCUGGCAGGACUAUGCUGAAUCUCCUUAGGCACUCUCUAAUCAGAUGUCCUAGGUCCUCCCAAUUCUUAGACCUUUUAUACCUGUUUUUCUCCUUCUUAUUCCAUUUAGUUUUUCAGUUCAUACAAAACCAUAUCCAGGCCAUCACCAAUCAUUCUAUACAACAAAUGUUUCUUCUAACAACCCCACAAUAUCACCCCUUACCACAAGAUCUCCUUUCAGCUUAAUCUCUCCCACUCUAGGUUCCCACGCCGCCCCUAAUCCCUCUUGAAGCAGGCCUGAGGAACAUCGUCCACUCUCUCUCCAUACCACCCCCCAAAAAUUUUCGCCGCCCCAACACUUCAACACUAUUUUGUUUUAUUUUUCUUAUUAAGAAGGCAGGAAUGUCAGGCCUCUGAGCCCAAGCCAAGCCAUCACAUCCCCUGUGACCUGCACAUAUACGCCCAGAUGGCCUGAAGUAACUAAAGAAUCACAAAAGAAGUGAAUAUGCCCUGCCCCACCUUAACUGAUGACAUUCCACCACAAAAGAAGUGUAAAUGGCCGGUCCUUGCCUUAACUGAUGACAUUACCUUGUGAAAGUCCUUUUCCUGGCUCAUCCUGGCUCAAAAAGCACCCCCACUGAGCACCUUGCGACCCCCACUCCUGCCCACUGAGCACCUUGCGACCCCCACUCCUAUCCGCCAGAGAACAAACCCCCUUUGACUGUAAUUUUCCUUUACCUACCCAAAUCCUAUAAAACGGCCCCACCCUUAUCUCCCUUCCCUGACUCUCUUUUCGGCCUCAGCCUGCCUGCACCCAGGUGAAAUAAACAGCCAUGUUGCUCACACAAAGCCUGUUUGGUGGUCUCUUCACAUGGACGCGCAUGAAAGAGACUUUACCAGUGAAAAUUUUAAAAUAGUCUGAAAUCACCCCAACAACAGCAAAUCCAAAAAGAACAACCAUUCUUUUUCUUUUCAAAUUACACAUCUCUCAAGUGGCAUUUUGUACAUUCUUUUUUUCUUUAAAGCUAUCCUUGAAAACAAGAGUUAUUUAGUAACCAUUUGAGCAAACGCGGUCUAUUUUUCUCUGAUCACACCAGUCUGCAGGGGGAUGGGGGAGGGGAGGCAGUCACAAAACCAGCAUUUUACUGGAUUUUACUGACUUUCUAUUAGCAAAAACAGUUUUCUUCAAAUUCUACCACACAGUUGAGAUUUCCCAAGGAGUGCCUAAUGAAUUUGCCAUAAACCAACCUUCCAGAUUACCAUUUUGCCUCCUCUUCUGCCUCAGCUAAUUCUGAUGACCAUCACUAUAUUCUUCAAAAAAGAAAUUUGAACUGUAAAGCCAAAGCACACAGAAGGCUUUGCUGCCAGCGUUGGCCGUCAUCCAGGGCCUGUCUCAAAGCAGCCUGUCUCUUGUUCCCUGCCUUCUGAAUAUGACAUGCUGAUGCUGCUCACUGGUGGUGCUACCAGAAAUACUAUUGCAGAUGGCCACUGAAGGUGCCACCACUGGGACCAGUGCCUGCCAAUUUCUACAUUUCAACAGCCACUGACAGAUAUCUAGGUCCUGCAUAGCUGUCUGUACUUCUGGCACCAUUUCUCAUGCUUGCCAGUACAAUGGUACCACCCCUCCUUGCCUUUAUAACUGCUGACACCAACAUUUCUGAUGCUCCAUGCUCUCAAUAUUUUGUGCAGGUUUGAAAGAAGAGGCAUUUUUAGUUUUCAUCCACUCUUUUAUUAUUAGCCUUUUUGCCCAAGAAUCAAGGCAUGAAUUUGUAAGGGCCAACUGGAGAACAACUUGAGUGACCAAUACCAAGUUGUACUCAAAUUUGCCUUCUAGCAGGAAACUGCUGCUUUUGAAACAGACUGUGCACUUUUACUUUUUCUUCCUGUAGGAUAUGUGUUUCUUGGUUUUCAUCUAAACAAGGUCUUUGAACAGCCAACCUACAAGAAUGUCAGCUAUAGCCAUGUAUUCCUCAAUGCUAGGCAGAACGCAAAAGAGAUUCAAAUUGGGACUUUUGAUAAACAUCAUUCAAAUAAUUGCAACAACAUAACACAUGUCACAUUGGAGCCCAUUGGUGUGAGGGCUAGAGUGAUCAACUUUUUUGAAGAGAGUUUAAUGUCAUGGAGAAUUAAAAAUAAACAUAAACACUAAUGCACAGUCUUUUUUAUUUGAAUGAAUAACUAAGGUUUUGUUUGUUAUCCUGGAAAAUAAAAAGGGGAAAGUAAGCUGUUUUUCUAAAAAAAUUGUUUUGAUUUUUCUUCCCUUUGAAAAACAGAGCUGGAAGUACCACUAAUGUCAGAGUUCCAAAAGGGUGUUUUGCCUCAAAUGUGAACCAUGAAACUAAGGUAAAAUUGUACCAAUUGUACUGGUCAAUAUAAUCUAAGCAAAAAAAUCUGAUUUAAUGAAGAUAACUAUAGGAACAUCUAUAAACUAGAUUUUUCUCUUCUGCCUGGGUCUUAGGAGGAAACAACAGUGGGAAACAAGCCUCCUCCCAUAAGUGAAGUGACAGCCUUUGGGAUUAGGGACUAGGAAGCAACUGGAUCUGUUCUGAUCCAUGGAAAAUGAUUUGGGUGAGAGUUGGAGAAUAUUGCCCAAUCAGAGAGCUGGAAACAGAGACUGUUAAAUUUGGUCAUCAUGUAUAAAUAACCCAUCUAGCUUUAGAUUUACUGCCACUUCAGGGCAAGAGCUAGCAUCAAAACUAAGUCAUAUUCCAGGAGAAGACAUGAACAUAAACCUAGCCAAAAGUUACAUACAUCCUGAUAAUAAAAUUAUCUGAAAAUUGAAUGUAUAUUAUGACAUGGGUGGGAGAAUGAGCAGGAAGGAUAGUAGGUAUGGUGUCUCUUCCAUCUUUGUCUAUAAGAAUAAAAUAAAGAGAUCUCAUUUGUUUGAGGUACCAGAUUCUCUAUAAGUUGGAAGAAAUUUAAAAAGAUUUUCUGUAAAAUGUCAAGCUAGUCCAGGAUAUAUACUACAAAACUUUCUUUUGCCAAUUCCUCUCCAAAUCCUAAAGAUGCAAUCAAACAUCCACACAUAGUCAUGAUGUUUAUAAAUAAAUAUUCCGUGAAAUAAUUUUUUUUUUUUUUUGAGACAGGGUCUCGGUCUGUCACCCAGGCUGGAGUGCAGUGGCGCAAUCUCGGCUCACUCCAAGUUCCGCCUCCCAGGUUCACGCCAUUCUCCUGCCUCAGCCUCCUGAGUAGCUGGGACUACAGGCGCCCGCCACCAUGCCUGGCUAAUUUUUUGUAUUUUUAUUAGAGACGGGGUUUCACCAUGUUAGCCAGGAUGGUCUCCAUCUCCUGACCUCGUGAUCCACCCGCCUCGGCCUCUCAAAGUGCUGGGAUUACAGGCGUGAGCCACCGCGCCCGGCAAUGAAAUAAUUUUUAAGCUUCCUUUGCUAUAAGAAUAUUUGUCUACAAAUAUAAAAAGUAUCCACUUGAAUUUCCCAAGAUAGCCUUUUCAAAUGACUCGAAUCAUCUAUUUCAUCCCCAGCAGCUCCUGUGUUCUAAAGCAAGCAAUGCUUUUAGUGAAAUGUUUAAUGUUUCUUGUAGUUAGCAUAUCAGUUAAUGAUAAUAAUUAGUGAUGCAAUAGAGUUUUAGUUUAUAUGUCCUGUUUGCAUUUUAUAGUAUGUUAGGGUCUGCUGUAAAGAUCCAUUAGCAUAAUAUAUUCCAUUUUAGAGGGUUUUAUAUGAGAUAUUUGUGCCAUGGUGUUAAGGUCUACUGGCCUAUGAUCAGGAGAUUAGAAUUCUGGCCUCAGAUUUGUCUCUGGACACAUGAAAUACACAAGACAAGUCUCUUCAACCCUUGGAGCCUCAGUUUUGUUAUAUGAAAAAUGAGAAGUUGGGUUAGAAAGUCUCUUUUGGUCUGAAAUAUUUAUCUUUCUUAGAUCAUAAUUUUUAUAUUAAAUUUUAAAUUUAGCUUUUCCAUUACAACUAACUCUUAAUGUCAUUUUCUUCUUUUUGUGCCUGGUAAAGAAGCAAAUUGACAGUUCUUGCAUCAAGAAGUGUCCCUAAUGGCCUCUUUGUAUAAAGUAUUCAUUAGGCCCACCGUCCUUUCCUGGUUGUGGUUAUCUCUUAUCCUAAAUGAUGAAACAGGGUCUCGGGGAGUAAUAACCUUACUCAAACUUAUAGUGCCAGGCUAGGAUUUGAAAACAGGUCUGCAUAACCUUGAAAUCCUUGUUUUUUUUUCUACUAAAACACCAAUUUAUUAGUCACAUCUGUGACUUAUUUUUGUCCAAAUACUGAAUCUGAAUGCAAUCCUCAAUUGCAUCAUUGUUUCUGAGUAAAGCUACUAAAGUUUUAUAACUAAACACUUCGCAACCCAACUCCAGGGAAAGCUUUGGAGUGAAAAGCAGCAAGUACUUAUUAGAGCAAACAUCCUGGGUGAUACGUCAACAAUAAUGCAAACAGAAAGUCAAUGCUGUGCAUAGCAAUCAAAACCAUACAUUUUCAUAGCUAAUUGGCAAUCUAAAUUAAGAAUGGCCUGUAGAAAUAUAAUGUGAUCAAGUCUUAAAACAUCAAUCCAUGUGUGCUUUCUUUCUUCCAUGUGUAUUUUGAGCCUGCCUUCAAGCAGUCGGAACCAUCCACAAGGCACUGAGGAGAAGGAUUGUUAGACAAAAAGAGAAACCAUGGAUAUUCUGUAUUUUGACAUAUAAAUUAAGUUGUUUGGAAUCAAACCUUGUAGAGAGUGGAACAUGGGGACUACUCGUGCCCUGAACAAAACAAAUGACAGUCAGAAACAUGGCACCCUUCCCUCUUUCAGCUAGAGUGCAAGAGGAAAUUGAAAUAAUACUAAUAAUAAAGGAGCUGGUGGAAAGAA